GACAAAGAGGCGCGUCGGGUCCCGGGCGCGGGCCGUCUGACGGAGGCGCCCGGGAAGCGCCGCCCACCUCGGCCCCGCACCCUCGCCGGCCUGCCGGGUCUCCGCCAGCCCUAGCAGACAGAGAGGGGCGCCGGUCCCUAGUCCCCCAGACCUCCAUUCAAGGUCAAAACUUUGCCCAGCUCAGCCUUGCUCGACCCUGGGCAGGGAAGCGCGGACAUCGGCAGAGGGAGCCCGAGGCUCUCCGUGCCCUUCGCGCCGGUGUGCUGGUGGAAUCGUCUGCAGUCGAUUUUUCGAGGAAUGUAGGAAAGCACAGAUCAUAGCUGAGACUACUGUGUGGCCAUAUGUUAGCCAAAUUCCCCAAGGAUGGAUAACACUAACAUAUAGUCAGUGGGAAAGAAAUCUCAGAAAAUAACUGUUAGUUUGUCACUGUCAUGGGAAAUGGGAAGGAAGAAAAACAGCACUUAUCAAGCAUCUUCUGUGUACAAACUGCCAUUUCAGACUCAGAGCAGUCCUUGAAGGUCAAGAACUGUGGAAUCUUUCAGAUGAUAUUCUGAUACUUCUGGACCAAGAUUGAAUUUGUUCUUCAUGAAAAAUGUCUGGGACCUUUUAUGUGGACGGGGAAUACCAACGUAGAGAUGGUCAAGAAAAUUUGCGCUCCGACCUAAACCAAGCACGUUGUAUGGUAGUUGGAGAGCUAAAUGUGCGGAUUGGCUGAGUUGGCCAGCUAGAGUUAUUCAAUUAAAAAAAAAUUAAAAACAUCUCUGGAAACAUUGCUCCCAUCAAAUAUUAAAAUGAUAAAAUGUUAAAAAUUUAGGUACUGGAAUGUAUGGGAGGAGCCAAGAUGGCCGAAUAGGAAAAGCUCCGGUCUACAGCUCCCAGCGUGAGCAACGCAGAAGACG
RNAcentral lists this long non-coding RNA (899 nucleotides) under Homo sapiens (human). Its description in RNAcentral is "long non-coding RNA NONHSAT172934.1". The record is from RNAcentral. Lineage: Eukaryota; Metazoa; Chordata; Mammalia; Primates; Hominidae.